AUGUAAAGAUGGCUCAAGUCAAAAAAAUUACAUUUGAUGCAGGCGGACAAUGAAGCUUUAGGAUACAAUCCUGUCUAAUCAAUCUAUUUUGAAUUGCCUGUGAAAGACAUGUUUCAGAUUGUACAGUUUUGCACACAGAGGAUGUGAUCUGAUCUUUUAUGCCUCCUCCUCUAGUUAAGCUAGGUUUUCACACCGACAGCAGAGCUAUUGUGUGCAUGACAUUUAGUGCUGGAAAUGGAUGCUGUGUCUUGGCAAUGAAAGGAAAAUCUGAGCACAAGCAAUGAAAAGAUAUCUUCACAGUGUUCCUUGGUCUCUUGUUAGUUAUUCAAUGUAGAGCAGUUCAGCACAGAGGAAACACACUGAGUGAAUGUCAGUGUUCUCAGCUCUUACUGAAAAAAAAAGUAAAAAAAGACAAAACUGAUCUAAAACUGAAUAUGAACACUGAGUCUGCCAGGCCCCAGAUUUUCAGUGCAUACCAAUUAAAAACUUUCUGACAGCAAAAGAAGUCCCAGAAACCCAAGUGGGCUCUAUUUGGGAAACAUACAGUCUCCAUCCAAGAGAGCAAAUUGGAUGCCUGUUUUCAGGUUGUAUGGAAAAGAAAAAUUAACUGCUUUGAGUGAUUUGUAUUUAGAUGCAAAGUUGUAGUUUGCAGAGGAAGGCACAGCCUACAGUCAAGAAAGCAGUGUCAUCCCAACUAGAAAUUCCUCAACUUUUUGUAACCUCAUUGAGAGCAGUGUCUGCAGUGUAAGUUUGAGUAGAUCCCAAGCAGUCAACACAGUCAUCACCUGCACAGUGCGGGUGCAGCUCUAAGGUAUUUACAUUCAUCAGUGAGGCUUACCUCUUGCCCCAGACUGUGGAAUAUGGCUUUGGAAACUAUAUGGUUUUGUUUUUAUUUUUAUCAUUUUGCCCAUAUAGAAACUUGGACAAGUAACUAAGGUAUUAAGGGACAGUUGAACAAUAACUGUAUUUUUUGUGAAUGUUAAAUGCAAGAAUAAUUAUCAAUUUCUAUAUUUUCAGUUCUUUUGUACUACAAGACACAGAAUUUUAUCCAAGCUUUUGGGCUUCUUUUAUGCUAAAAUGUCUCAGUCCCUAAAAGUUGUGUGUCCUACAAACACAGAACUAGAGAAAUUCUGAUACCAGUAACAACGAGGUCAAAGGCAUUGAAUUUGUUAGGCAUGCCUUAUGCUACAUAAGAGGGUGAAACACUCAGUACUCUUUCUUAAUCCGUCCUCAGAAAUAAUUCUUAUCCAAGUUCUCAAAAAGUUGUACAUGGAUUUGAUUUUGGGAGCGUGAGCAAGACACACAAGCAAGCACCUGAGACAGCCCAGAGCAGCAGCCCUUGGUGUCUAGGAUCAUGUCUGAUGUAGAAGAAUGGAAGAUGAAAAAGAGUUCAUCAGGGAUUUAACCAAUUGCCUGGUUGUGUGUGGCUAAAAUAAAUCCUUCCUGACACAAGAAUAUGACCAAGAUAUGACUAGUUAAUUAUCAGUAAAUUAAGUUUGUGGUCCAACCUAUAUACUGUAUGAAAGUGGCUAAGGUGCAAGCAGCCCUGCUUUUCUCAUGGGCUGUUAACAAAAGGAGUGAACAGGGAAAUUUAAGUUCACAGAGAGCAAGACUACAAACAAGAUUGUAGGUAAUUUUCUCCUCUUUUUUCUCUCCUUAUAGUUCUUGUUUUACAAAAUGUGGCAUCCCAACCUACAGGACUAACCAGGAUAUUUUUUCUAGACAUGAUGUAUCAAAUACCUGGAAUAAAAUAAAUGACAUUGAGUGUGACCAAUCAUCCAGUAAUUCUUAUUAGACUGAGCAGUUAAUACAUUUCCUACGUGACUUACUAUUUCACCAGUUUUAAUAGCACUUACAGACCUCACCACAAAAGAAAAAAAUAUUAUCACCUCUCUCUUUAUCAGUGUCCUCUCUAAAGAGACAGCCCCUUCCCAGCUGAAGAACUGUGCACCAACUCUCAAAUGCAAUUCCAAGACCACAUCCAAAAUGCUGUAUGUGUGCCUGGCUCCUUUGUGCAGCCUGGCACUGUGAGUGGACCAGAGCCAGCUCCUGUCUCUGCCUGCCACAGACUCCAUCAGCAUCUGACAAGUGCAUAGGAGUCCACAGCUCUUUUUCUUGAAAUGGUUUUAUAGAUAACCAUCUGAUGACGUACAGAAUAUAAAUGAGCUGUAGAGCAAAAGUUGUUUAAAUCUAACCUACACUACUCGUAAAAGUGUGUAACAAAUUGGAUUUCUAAUCUAGACGUUCUACUUCUUUCAAGACAGAGGCCAAAUAAAAUUAAAGAAAUUAGCCAGAGCACAAAAUGGUUCUUGUAGUCUUUCUACCCUUCACUGUGUAAUGAGGAUGACACUCUUCUCAAGGAAAAGUAUUUUGUAAUGAUCGUUUGUAUGUCAUCCUUCAUGCAACUGAGUUGAAAGGUGCUGCCUAAAAGACCUGCCAAGCGUUUAUGCCCUAUAAUUUCCUUAUUUUUUUCAUACCUAUGUAUCUAAAAAUGGAGAAUGUAACCAGUCAACUAAGGUGACGCUCAAAGUUUUGCACUUUCUGCAGUACCAUACCUUCUAAAUAUUAAUUCCAGCAUCUGUAAUUCGUCAUUACAUUUUUACUAAAUCAAUUCUAGAAGUCACUGAAUAGUGUAUUUACUAUACAAUGCAAUUUUAAAACAUGCACAAAAAUAUUACUUUACACAAAUGUUUCUGUGAGAGAGUUAAGCUGUAGCAAUUUAGUGUCACAGCAUUAGAGUGUGAGGCCCUUGGCAAGUUUUUAUACUGGAUGAGCAAUAAAAUAAGGUUAUCUGGAAGAAGCAGCCGAGGAUAGGUAAAGUAAAAUAUUUAAAUAAGCCCAAAUCUAAUCAAAUUGCUUGUUUCAUUAAAUAUGCUUGUAUGAGUACUAAAAAACGCAAAGGAUGCACAUGAAUGUAAACACAGACAAAUGCAUUUACAAAUCAGGUUCCAGGUCACUGAACAAAAGAUGUUGCCAUUGCAUGUAGCCACUGGCCUCUGAAGAGUGAUGUAUAUAAUGGUAGCCUCAUUUCCAAUAGAGAACUGACAUUAUUUUGAAAGAUCCAUCGCAUCACAGGACCUUACAUCAAUAUUGACAUGUCUGUAUGGUAACAACUGCUUAAUGCAUAACAGAUUCCAGACUUGAUGGGUUUUUACCCCUAGAACUCUCCAAAAAGAGAAAAGGAAUAUUAAUGGAAAGCCACUGGAAACUGUUAUUUUGGGCAGUGCACUUCUAUUCACUUAGCUAUCUGUCAAGUGCAGCAUGAAUAGGCAACUACAGUGUAGGUCCUAGAGAUACUACAGAGAGGAAAGAGAUCCAUCAGAGAAAAUUACAUCAGGUGAUGCAAAGCAUAAGCGAUAGAGCCAGCAGAGCCUAGUUUGUCUUCUUUUGUGCUAUUAGAAAGCCAUUUGAUGUAAACCAGCUGUUUUGUUAUGUUCUUCACAUUAUACCCAGCCAUGCCACCAGAACAUGCAGGCAAGUACCAUGUCUGAGUGUUUUAUGGCUUUCUGUUUUCAGUGAAUUUCGUGUACUAUUUAGAUUGACAUUCAUACAAUUAAACAAAGAACCAACAUCAAGAAAUCUCUUUCUCUCAGACGUUUACAUGAAAUGUAAACUUAUUUACACAAACAGCAUUGCCAGCAUAGUUUUAAGUCUAAGAAAAUAAUAUUAUUUUUAAAAAUGUGUCUGCCCAUUUCACAGUCUGAAUACGGAUUUCACAAAGCUUGAAUGCAUCUCCAAUGACACACCACUCCUAGCUGUUCAGAAAUCUGUCAGAUAAGUUCUCUUGGCUUGCUUUACCAGAAGAAUCACUGCAUAUAUCCCAGCUCAACAAAUCAGUGUGUAAUUCAUGACAGGUUAUCAAGGAAGUGAUAGAAAGCAUUGUAUGCACAGCACUAGACUAAAUUUAGACAAGAGAGGUACAAAUAUCACACUCUCAUUACUAAAGUGGAGUUACUAGUGCCCUUAUUAGCAUCUAGUCACUGGGAAAAUAAUGAGGUUUUUUUCCUGGGAGGAAUAAAUCAAACAACAUUUAGAUUUGAGCUCAUUCUCAGGCACAUCCCUGGGUCUCCAAUCAGCUGACUUGUUCCCUUGUGUCCUGAAAAGCCCCACCAAAGUCCCUGGCCCCAGAGCUCCCUCAAGACUGCCUCCCUGGGCUCACACCUCAGUGGGCAGUCGCCUCCUGUCCUGCUUGAGGACCCCAAGUAGCUGGGGUGCUCUAGCAGUGCACCAGGCAGCAGGCAGUGAACCGAACCAUGUGUGAAGUCCCUCCUGAGCCAAUCUGCCUCUCUGCAUGCUUUUUUUGCCAAACUUGCAAGCAAAAUGGACGUACUGCUGCAGUAAGCCUCGAUGCCAGUGCACCAAGCAUUUUUUUUUUUUUUUGCCUGAAAGUCCUGCCAGCAAACAUGCAGGCACUGAUCCUGCCAGGUGGCAGAGAGCCACUUCGAAGGAGAAAGGUGUCCAGCCAAAAGAGGUACAACUUUUACCCUCGGAGAGAGCAUUAGGCUUUCUGAAGGGAGACAAAAUCUCCAUGUGCCAGGAAGUGCCUAUGAACACUGUCCUCUCCUCCAGAGACAGGACAGCUACAUGUCAUCUUUCGAGCCAGUCUGGCCCAAGAAUUGCUUAUCACAAUAAAUUUUCCUGGGAUGAAGGGCAUUUCUUAUUGCUUUUUGAAUUAAACACUAGGAAGAAGAAGCACAGCUGGAAAGAGACAUCUGCACACAGACUAAUGGUAAGAUUAGAGAGCAAAUGGAAAACCCUCAAAGAUAAAUCUUGCCUCUGUAGCAAGAUAUUAAAACAUACAUAGAGAAGAGAUGUGGUACAAACAUGCUUAUGAUUAUUUUUUCUAGGGCACUCGCAAAAGCUGUUCUAUUUGGCAAUGAAUUUAACAGUCACUUGUGGUGUUCAACUCUACCUUUAGAUAACACUUCCAAAUUAAUUAGCUAUAUCAUUUUAUCUGUCUGCUUCAUGGUGCUUCUGCAGGAAAUACGAUCAGAGGUAUAUGCACCUCCCAUACUUUCACACUGUAAAAACAUUAGAACAGAAACAGGAAACCCGACUCCUUUUAAUUUUGCACAGCCUAAUGCAUCUCUCAAAAUAAGAGCACUGAACAAAACCUUCCUGUCAUUUUAUCUUUUGCUUCCAUUGCCAGAUUCAGAGCCCUUUAGGGGCACAGAUCAAUGAGAAGGCUCCCAGCUGCAGAAUGUGCACUGGCUCCAGCAGCAGACAAAGUCUGCAGUCUGCUAAACACCGGUUUAAAUGUUUCACUUGAUCACACUCAGCUCCUUCAGAAAAUGGAUCACCUGUACUGAAAAUCUUCCACUCCUGCAGCCUUUGCUUCCUCAGCAACACAGAAGAAAGGAAACAAUUUCAUUCAGAGGCUCAUCAAAGACGGUACAUUUAAGACUGGAUGUUAGAAGAGGAUAAAACAGUGACACAGAAGGCCCCAUGCCUAUGCAACAACAUCUUGAGGCACUGCUGUAUCAGGUAAUGCUACCUGCUCCAGUUUGGCUGUGGGCAAUAAGGCAACUGCAUAGAAGAGAGUUAGAACUGAUCAGUCGGCUUUCCUGAAUGUCAAAGGAAGAGUAGCAUUACAUCUCAUGAGAAACAGUCUGGUCCAGUGCAGAGAGGGUUUUAUUCAAUGUCCUUAUUCUUAUUCAUAGCAUGCAUUUUAUGCAUAGGGCAGUGUCUCUAGCCACUCUUUGAACACUGUUUCUACUGAUUUGCAUUGCUGUAAUGUAGGAAAUUGUGUCAAGCUGCAGGAUGUUCCCUGCAGACUGAUAAUGGGAGAGCAGCAAAUGCUUGUUCAUAAGUAAGAUGAAGGAUAUUAACUCAAAACAGUCAAUAAAUCCUUAGGAAAUGUCCUGACCUCUGUUGUUUAUUGAUAUUAAAAAUGGAAAAAAAUCCCGUGCAUUUUUUCUGUAUGACAUAGCCACCACUGGUAUACAAAAUAUAUAUUAGCAAGUCCUUUGGCUCUCCCUCAGCACUAUACUCAUCAUAAUUUGUUAUUUGUUAUUUUGAGGAAAAGAUGUGCAUAUGUGCUGGGAGGACUGGGGAAAGAAAAUCAUUAGUUCUUGAAAACUGUACUCAGAGAUUGAGGUUCAGUUUUUUUCAUUUUCUGAAAAGUCUUCACAUCUGCAUAGCAUCAGUUGCUUAAUUUUUACUGUCAUUUCAAACUUUAGACACCUGUUCUCUGAGCCUUUUACUUUAUCCUUCCCCUGAGGAAACUUCUUUUAUCUCAAAGGAUUCACCAUAAUACAGCUGUAUGGUAUUUGUGUGACGUACACAUGUGCACAGGAGGAAAUGAGAGCAGAAAUACAUCAUCAACAUUUGAAAAAUAUGUUUACUGGACUCAUAACCAGAAAGCAGCUAUGAAUGUAUGUGGUAAUGGGCAAAACUAGACCUUUGCUAUCAGAGGGGUUUAAAAAGGGGAAUUACAUAAAAGGCAGGUAAUUAUAUCCACUUAUUACUUACAGCAUUUACUGAGAUCUUUGCCUUGCAAACACUCGUCCCCUGUGCAUUUCACCUCAGUAUACAUUUCUCCUAUCAAUAUCCUUUAUCGACACUUUAUUUACACGCUUUUAAGAACUUCUCAGAAAAGGCUUUGGCUUGUGUGAGGGCUACUAAGAUUUCAGUACCUUAUAUCCUUGUUCCUCACAAGACAUCUCUGCACAAACUAUUCCAAGGAACGGUUAUGGGGUAGCACCACUCUGUUGCUCAUAAAUCUAAGGAUAUCUUUUGGAAAAAUUAAACUAUGAAGACUCUAAGCAGUACAAACUAAUUAAACAAGGCAGAAGAAUGUUUUAACAAAUGCCUUCCAGCCACUCAGCCCAUCUAUACUCUAAAGAUAAUGCUAUAAUAUUUCCAUCAGAGUCAGCAGUAGAUGCAAUCAUCUUCAAAUACAAUCCUCUGCCUCCUAGUAGACUGUUGAAAAGGAGAUGGAGGCAUAACCAGUGACUGACUUGACUGAGAGGAUGAUGAAGGAAGGCUCUGCAUAGUCCAGCCCCAGUUUAGGUAAUGGCGAUGCACAUUGGAAAAUAUCUUCUCUUUAAAAACUUUGGUAGCAACAUUUUUAGAUUCAAAACAAAUGAUAUAACUAUUUUAUUAGAUCAACUUUAGUUACAGUGCCAGGAAGAACUGAUGAAUUUAACAGACCUGGUACUGUCAUUUAGAGGGGGGCCUAAAUUGCAAUAUAUGACAUGCUUUCUGUCUUUUUCUUUAAUCCUCUUUUCUGCCCUCUCAACACUGCUCCCAAAAGCUAAGUAAUUCACUGACAAUGAAACUUGACUUUCUGCAUAGUAUUUCCUGGACAUUCCUAAGGGAUGGAAAUCGGAAGUAAAAAAUUAUUGAUAUCUCCCUCUGUCGAGGCCUUGCAGAAGACAAGACCACCUUUGCUGCACAAUUCCUUGUGAUUUCCUUUAACAGUUGCUAUCCUAUGUGAAGAAGCUCCCAAAAGAUGGAAAGUGAUGCCCAUCAGCCCUGCCACUGCCAUUAAUAUCCACAUAAUUCUCUUUCUCUCCUUUGCAGAAGUCCACUGUUUUUGCCAUGCCUUCUAUACACUGACAAGCAGGCCAAGAAAUGCACCAGCGUGGAGAAACUGUUGACUUGCCUCUUCAAAUCUACAUUCUCUGUUUUUUUGGGGUUUCUUUGCAUGAGGGAUCCUUUCUGCCAUUAUUACUCCAUUUAUGAGCCUCUCAAGGAAGGCUAGGAAAGCACUGGGUGCUAAAAUAUCCUAUCUACUGCCAGUUUAUAUACUGGCAGUAUAUAAGUAUAUAAGUAUACUUAUACUGGUUGCCUAAUCUGGGUUGCUCAUUAAGAUCACAGAUUUCAUUAUACCUGAGAAGUUUCUGGGAGUCAACUUUACCUACCUCCAGUGAUUGCAGAAAAAGGCUUUAUGAACUCCCAAGUGAAGUGCUUUACUUAAGCAGACCAAACAGCUUUCCAGUCCUAUCAGUUCCAGACAUGGAGCAGCAGCCUAUUUUGCAGAUAGGCUUCUUUGUACUGUGGAUCUUCUGAGAAUGACUGAAUCUCACUGAGCAGCCACCUUAUGGUGACUUGUGCAGCUUAACAGCUCACCUUUCAUAGGCACUAUCCGCAGAAUUGACUUUCCUCAUUCUUUAUUUAAGAAUCGUUUUUUUUUCUUUCUGUGUAUUACAUAACACAUGUGACUUUCUGAACAGACCAGCUCCUCCUUCUACGCACCAUCUUGCUCAGAACCACAAACUCUCUAGACUUUGUUUUCCUGACACUUCUGGCCAGUGCUCUUGACUUCCUCCAGUAAAAUGCAAUCCUCAUCAUUAUCAUGCAUGUAAAGGUCUAUAUUCUGAAUGCUGGAUACAUUUUGAAUAUUUUGAAUAUUUUCCUGAGACCAUCAAAGACUCAGUAUUGAUUAUCUCUGCCUGGUAAUACUUCCUUCUUAGUCCUCAUUACUUUGAAUACGUCUCUCAGCUUGAAUAUCUAAAGAUAAUUCUCCAAUUUCAAAGUUUCUGACAGGUUGGUUUAUUUUCAGUUUAGAUGUUUGCUCAAGUUUUCUGCAAUAUUUUUAGGGGUUUCCUCGCUCAUUAUGCAUAUACCUCUUCAGCAUCCCACUGCCUUUUCACAGGCCUGGAUAUCUUCUAAUAUCAAUACAUAGACAUUUCUUGCAAACUGCUCUCCAGACCCCUGCCCUCAUAAUGGAACCAUGUGAUUUCCUGACAAUGAGAGGAUUUCACAUAUAUUAAGUACGUGAUGGACACAGAAUAGCCAGCCCCUGAGAUGCCCUAAUACCUUCUGAAAAUCUUUAAAAAGAGAAUCUGCAUGUGGCAGUCGCCUGGGUUUAGGAGAACACACUGCUUAUCAAAUCCAAAUUUUGUUAACUUACAGAAAAAUUAAUAAUCGAAAAACAAAACUCAUAGGCAUUAGACAAGAAAGGAAUCGAUAUUUUUUUCUCUAUAUAAUGUUACUCUGUAUAAAAAAUUUGCAGAAGCAAAGUUCAGAACAUGCAUGAGUUUUAUGAAAGGUACAACAAAAAAUCUAAUCUUAACUUACACACUAUCAUUAAAUAAACAUGCUAUGAAUUAGCUGAGCACUGGGCAGACAGACAAGAACAGAAUCGUAUGGCUAACCAAAUGCAUUAUUUAUCAACUAGUAGAGCUUCUGUAAUACAACUCUGCACGUUGACUUAUUUAUGAAGUGCAGUAAGAAAGACACUGAACUAGUGUAUGAGCAUAAUAUGGUUUUAUAUUCUGCUAAUAUGCAAACUAAAAAUGAAACUAACAAAUAUGAGCCAAAACGAGGCCAUAAUGUUCUAUCCACACUUUGAGAAAUAUUAACGCAAAUAUGUCAAAACAAAUGAAGGCAGGCACUUACAAUAACUGUGAAAGAUGACACCAAGCUUCUGGUUUCUCAGGUCACCAAAGAGCUUAUGCAUUACAGGCAGCAGGACUGAGAGCUUCCCUUUACGUGAAACUCAUCCUCCUCCUAAGCACUGUUGGCAAACCAUUCCCACUAUUGCCAGGCUUGGCAGAGAUUUGGGUUGGCACUUCUAAGACUAAACUACAGCAAUCCUUUAAAUUAAGAUUUGUCACGCAACACUGGGAAGGUGACUCAGAAUGCAAAAUCCUCUUCUCCACACUUCUCUGGCCUUUAGACCCUGCUGGCAUUGCCAGUGGUGAUGCCCAUCAGUGCCUAUUCUUACUGUAGUCUCUCUGACAGUAACCCUUUUGCAGAAUCACAGGAGGCAAUGGAGACACACUAGGAUACCCUCUCUCUUCUUUAAAUCAGAGUCAGAGUGCUGGUACAGCAUCAGUAUCUCCUGGAGAACAGCUCUCUGGAUUCCCACUGUCUGGAGUUGAAUUUCUAAUCCCGUAACUGAAGUACCUAAGGUUGCCUUGCACAGUUCACUGACAUGCAGAGCAAUGCCUAAGGGCUAUACUUUUCUCUCACUUUAACUAAAAACUGGAAAUUAGUUCCUAUUACUGACAUCGCCUCCAUAAGACUCCGGAUCCUGUGGUUCUUCGUAUUAACUACGGGAAUCUUUCUGAGCCUUCUUAUGCCAAUGCACGUGCAGUUACUGAUGUUUUAAGUUGGUGUAACUGUUUAGGAUAGUAUUCUAGUUUGCUUAACUUUAGGCAGAAUUAAUUUUUAAAACGACAAUGCCAACAAAGAAACUCAAAGUGUCACUGAUGAGCAUGCAGCUAAAUAAAUUAAUUUCUUGAUUACUCAUUUCACACACUAAACUGUAAUAAUUUUGACUUUCAUUUUCUUGCAUUUUUUACUUUUCUGGUUAGCAGCCUUCUUGCAUUUUCUCAAUCUCACUCUUUUCAGAAGCGAUGACUGAAGUUUUGCAUGAGUAAGCUGAAAUUUAAAAAACUGACUGCAGAUCAGAGAUGUGUUAAAACAGGAAAACUUCUUGGAUGAGGAGAGGGUAGAGAGUAGCAGGUAUUUUAUCGGCUGCAAGGAGUGGGGGCGUGUGACGUAAAUGGUUUCCUAAAUGUUCAGACACUGAGGAAAACUGAGUGCAAAGAAGCUACUGAGGCUCUCUGCUGUUAUGUGGCCUGAAGAGAACAGUCUUUAUGACUUGCUCUACUUUGGCUAAGUUCCCAUAUUACCAGCAAAACAACUGCCUAGCAACCCAGAUUUUCCCACAACAUUUCCUCACACACAUUGUAUGCCCAGAAAAAAGUACAGCACCUAAUAUUCUCUCUGGAUAAUCCCCUUAUUGGAGAGCUAUAUUUAUUUCUUUGUACACAUUUGAGCUUUAGCUAACAGGGCAAUUGCUGUCGUGACAGACGCUGCAGGCAAAGUCAAACCAGUCCUAUCUGUGCCGCAAGCUGUGCAGUAACUGUGCACCCGAAGCAGGUUAUCUGUGCAUCAGACAGACAGCAAGCUUGCUGCUUCCCUCCGCCAUGUUUCCCCUAACAAAGGCAGGAAGCCAUGACCGUUAGCAAAAAAAAAGUACAAAUAUCCUUUCUAUUGAAAAACCUGUUUUGUGAACAGAAAGGGAGGUCUCCAGCUUGCACUCCGCAAUGCUGGGGAAGUCCAUCUGAAGACAUAAAUAGUUCAGUAAUUUAAAGUACAUGCUGGUUUGAACAUAUGAAAUACAUAUUUUUUUCAUUUACUGCCUUUAAGGAACACUUACAGUCAUACAGUAGAUUUACUAAUGGCUAUAUUUUCUUAUGUGACACCUCAGCAGCAGCAGCAGCAUCUUGCAACUGAAUAUUUAAGCUGCUUUCCUCACAGUUUCAGCACGAGUUGCCUUGAUCUUUCUACAGCUGAUCUGGAGCAACACACUGAUAGGACUGCUGAAAACCCCUAUCUGCCCAUAUGUUACAUCAAAGCACAAGCCUUCUUGUCCCUCCAAAAGACAUCACAGUCUGAGAAACACUGUAGGUAAACUGCAACUGCCAUAAAUAAGACAGCACUCUUAAUCAUACAUACAGAAAUUAAGGCAGCA
Molecule: long non-coding RNA, 11431 nt
Organism: Numida meleagris (helmeted guineafowl)
Lineage: Eukaryota; Metazoa; Chordata; Aves; Galliformes; Numididae
Exons: 3
Source: RefSeq, a predicted model, not a curated record